UACGUAGGGGGCAAGCGUUGUCCGGAAUUAUUGGGCGUAAAGAGCUCGUAGGCGGUUUGUUUCGUCGGGUGUGAAAACCCGAGGCUCAACCUCAGGCCUGCAGUUGAUACGAGAAGACUAGAGUGUUGCAGGGGAGACUGGAAUUCCUGGUGUAGCGGUGAAAUGCGCAGAUAUCAGGAGGAACACCGGUGGCGAAGGCGGGUCUCUGGGCAGCAACUGACGCUGAGGAGCGAAAGCGUGGGGAGCGAACAGG
RNAcentral lists this ribosomal RNA (253 nucleotides) under uncultured bacterium. RNAcentral's name for it is "partial 16S ribosomal RNA". It matches the Rfam family "Bacterial small subunit ribosomal RNA", at positions 524 to 776 of the family's 1533-position model. The record is from RNAcentral.